AGAGUUUGAUCCUGGCUCAGGACGAACGCUGGCGGCGUGCCUAACACAUGCAAGUCGAACGGGGAUUUUGUUUCGGCAGAAUCCUAGUGGCGAACGGGUGAGUAACGCGUAGGCAACCUGCCCCCCGGCCGGGGACAACACGCCGAAAGGUGUGCUAAUACCGGAUACGAAGCGAGCACCGCAUGGUGCUUGUUUGAAAGACGGCCUCUAUUUAUAAGCUGUCGCCGGGGGAUGGGCCUGCGUCCGAUUAGCUGGUUGGCGGGGUAACGGCCCACCAAGGCGACGAUCGGUAGCCGGUCUGAGAGGAUGGACGGCCACAUUGGGACUGAGACACGGCCCAGACUCCUACGGGAGGCAGCAGUGGGGAAUCUUCCGCAAUGGGCGCAAGCCUGACGGAGCAACGCCGCGUGGGUGAGGAAGUUUUUCGGAACGUAAAGCCCUGUUGUUUAUGACGAACGGCCCUUCUGUGAAGAAUGGAGGGGAAUGACGGUAAUAGACGAGGAAGCCACGGCUAACUACGUGCCAGCAGCCGCGGUAAUACGUAGGUGGCAAGCGUUGUCCGGAAUUAUUGGGCGUAAAGCGCAUGUAGGCGGUAAUUUAAGUCUGUCGUGAAACUGCGGGGCUCAGCCCCCGUAUGGCGAUGGAAACUGGAUUACUUGAGUGCAGGAGAGGAAAAGGGGAACUCCCAGUGUAGCGGUGAAAAUGCGUAAAUAUUGGGAAAAAACACCCGGUGGCGAAGGCGCCCUUUCUGGACUGUGUCUUGACCCUGAGAAUGCGAAAAGCCAGGGUAACGAACGGGAUUUAGAUACCCCCGGUAGUCCUGGCCGUUAAAACGAUGGGGUACUAGGUGUGGGGAGGUAUCGACCCCUUCCCGUGCCGGAGUUAACGCAAUAAAGUACCCCGCCUGGGGAGUACGGCCGCAAGGCUUAAACUCAAAGGAAUUGACGGGGGCCCGCACAAGCGGUGGAGUAUGUGGUUUAAUUCGACGCAACGCGAAGAACCUUACCAGGUCUUGACAUCGAGUGCAAGGGAUAGAGAUAUCCCCCUCUCUUCGGAGACGCGAAGACAGGUGGUGCAUGGCUGUCGUCAGCUCGUGUCGUGAGAUGUUGGGUUAAGUCCCGCAACGAGCGCAACCCCUAUCCUAUGUUACCAGCACGUCGCGGUGGGGACUCAUAGGAGACUGCCAGGGACAACCUGGAGGAAGGCGGGGAUGACGUCAAGUCAUCAUGCCCCUUAUGUCCUGGGCUACACACGUACUACAAUGGCCGGCAACAGAGGGAAGCGAAGCCGCGAGGCGGAGCGAACCCCAGAAACCCGGUCCCAGUUCGGAUCGCAGGCUGCAACCCGCCUGCGUGAAGUCGGAAUCGCUAGUAAUCGCAGGUCAGCAUACUGCGGUGAAUACGUUCCCGGGCCUUGUACACACCGCCCGUCACACCACGAAAGUUGGUAACACCCGAAGCCGGUGGGGUAACCGUGAGGAGCCAGCCGUCUAAGGUGGGGCCGAUGAUUGGGGUGAAGUCGUAACAAGGUAGCUUUAUGGGAAGGUGCGGCUGGAUCACCUCCUUUCU
This 1568-nucleotide ribosomal RNA is filed under the name uncultured rumen bacterium. RNAcentral describes it as "bacterial SSU rRNA". It matches the Rfam family "Bacterial small subunit ribosomal RNA". The record is from RNAcentral.